Molecule: long non-coding RNA, 369 nt
Filed under: Homo sapiens (human)
Lineage: Eukaryota; Metazoa; Chordata; Mammalia; Primates; Hominidae
Description: HSALNT0181815
Source: RNAcentral
UUUGUCUUCAACUUAUAUCAAAUCCGGAACCUGAAGGAUCUGGAGAUGGGUCCACCCUUCACCAUCAGUGGUCACAUCAGCAGCACAGAUGGUGGCUACAUGAAGUUCUCCAACGGGCUAGUCUGAUGCAGAGACAGCAACUUGUGAAGCCCUGGGGAGGUGGCCACAUUUCCUCCAUUUGUGCUGUUCCUCAACCAGGCUGAACCCUCUGCCAACAAAGUUAUGUUCCAUAGGUCUUUAGUAACUCCUAAAACUGGAGCGUGCUGGAGGAGGUCAGUGACUACUUGCCGAGUAGAGAAGAGACACCCAAUGUAGCCACAGAAGGCUGCUUUGUCCUAGAAAAUUGAUCAAAAUCAUGAUGAGGCUGGG